This is a non-coding RNA of Xylariaceae sp. FL0594, 113 nucleotides long. The record is from the annotation of a GenBank genome assembly. NCBI's taxonomy places the organism in Eukaryota, Fungi, Ascomycota, Sordariomycetes, Xylariales, Xylariaceae.
GGGCGAAUGGUCUAGGGGUAUGAUACUCCCUUCGCAUCUCUGUUCUUCUGAUCUUAUCCAAAAGACAAGAGCUAGCUUGGGAGGGGUCCGGGGUUCAAUUCCCCGUUCGUCCA